This 1612-nucleotide long non-coding RNA is filed under the name Malus domestica (apple). RNAcentral describes it as "long non-coding RNA (MDOM_LNC012938)". The record is from RNAcentral. Lineage: Eukaryota; Viridiplantae; Streptophyta; Magnoliopsida; Rosales; Rosaceae.
UCUCUAAUUGUUCAAUGAGUACAAUCAUCUUCAGUACAUGUUGAUUCACUGGGGCUCCUUUCACCAUUUUGGUCUUCACAAGUUCACUGACAGUGCUAAAGCGACGAUUGCGCGUCCCUUCACCAUAUAACUCCGUAAGAUGGAGUAUGAUGGAGGAUGCACUGUCCAUACCCUCAUGCUAUCUCUGCAGCUCCUCAUUCAUGGAAGCCAACAGAUAGCACUUGGCUUGUGUAUCAUCCUCAACGUGCUUGUCAUACUUAGCACGUUCAUCCUCAGUGGCCUCAGGGCCAAGAGGUAUGUGAGGUGGAGCCUUGUCUAGUACGUAAACAAUUUUCUCCAAGGUUAGGAGAAUCUUGACAUUACGAUACCAAGAUGGGAAAUUGUGCCCCUCAAGGCAAUGCUUGUCGAGUAUCUUUGCAAGUGUGCUUCCAACCAUUUCUAAAUACAUAACAAUAAAAUAAAUUAGUUUGAUUGUUGAUUAAGUCAAACGAUUCGGGUCUUUAAACCGAAUGACACCACCCACUAUUUUUGGCAAAUUCCAUAUCCCUCAAGAUGGAAUCCGGGAGAUUUCAAUGAAAGCUCCUAGCGGGUUAUGGGAGGCUCACUAUUACCAAGCCCACCUCACGAUGAUACGAUGUCGGCUAGCAAAAAUAAUAAUGAGAGGGUAAAACUACUCAUUCACAACAACCUCUUGUGAUUACCCAUCUAAUUGGCCUAUAGAGAACAAUGCUUCACAAUGAUAUGAUGUUGGCACCAUUUCUCUUAGUUAAGUUUUGACCCACCAUGCCGGUUCGGAUAGGGGUCCAAGUAUGACCUCACGAUGUUACGAUGUCGGCCAUACUCGUUGCCUACCUUCACCACAUCAAAUGUUUGAAAUAGACUCCUCCUGUGUAUAAGCACAUACUUUGAACUCCCCCAUGAUAGGGUGAAGGCGGUGUAUGAGUCAUAAACGAUUGGAGCCUACCAUGGUGGAAGGCCACGAAGAAGUGUUCAAAAGCACCUCUCUGCUUUCAACUUAAUAUUGGAUGUUGGUUGAGGGAUUUUAAGGUCUCAUCAUUUUAUUUAUUUAAUCAAAUUAUAAUAAAUUGUGUCCUAUUACAACUACUAGUUCAAAGUAAAUGAAAUUAGUAGCAUAUGAUAUCUCCAUUAUUCGUUUUCGUAAAACAAAUCAAUAUCAAAACAAUUUUUCAAAAUAUUGGAGAUAUAUAUCACUACUAAUUGUGUUCAUUUUAGUUUAGUAGCGUAUGAUACUCCCACUAUUUGUUUUGAGAAAAACAAAUCAAUAUCAAAAAUCAAAAUUUUCAAAUAUUGGACGUAACUACUACUACUAAGGUUUUUGCAUUCCUUUAAAUUUGGACUUUAUAGUUAUCUUAGGCUCUUUGGAUGACUAUGGACUUAUUAACGAGCCAACAUUGUUGAAUAAGAUCUAGGAGGAAUGUAUCGUUUUAAUUACGCGCUUUCAAUCCAAUUAAAACAUUUUUCAUUGAGCCAUUAGAAACGAAAGACAAUCAUUCAUUGCUAAUUAGGGCAUUGGACCCAACAAAUCUUUAAUCUCAUGAAAACCCCUUUUAAUAUGUUUCCUUACCAAUAGUUAAAGAAACUCUAGUAUAGU